Molecule: ribosomal RNA, 1447 nt
Filed under: uncultured Bordetella sp.
Lineage: Bacteria; Pseudomonadati; Pseudomonadota; Betaproteobacteria; Burkholderiales; Alcaligenaceae
Description: partial 16S-23S ribosomal RNA intergenic spacer
Rfam family: Bacterial small subunit ribosomal RNA
Source: RNAcentral
GGAUUCGAUCAUGGCUCGGUGUUGCGCUGGCGGGAUGCUUCCACAUGCAAGUCGAACGGCAGCACGGACUUCACGGUCGUGGCGAGUGGCGAACAGGUAGGUAAUGUAUCGGUGUGCACUGAUAGCGGGGGAUAACUACGCGGCAUGUAUACCGCGCCGCCGCUCGAAAACAGAGGAGACCUUCAGGCCUCACUUGCUAUUAGAAACAGCCGAUAUCCAGUUAGCUAGUUGGUGGGGUAACGGUGACUCGCCAAGGCAGCAACGAUCCGUAGCUGGUUUGAGGGGACGACCAGCCACAGGACUGGGACAUUGAGCUCUGCAGGAGCAACAGGUGAGUUUUUGGACAAUGGGGAAACCUGAUCGGCCAUCCCGCGUGUGCGAUGAAGGCCUUCUGAGUUUAUACUGGCAGAAAAAACGGCACGGGAUAAUACCCCUUACCCGGCUGUGACCUGCAGGAAUAAGCACCGGCUAUGCUAAGUGCAGCCACGUAUGCGUAGGGUGCAACGUGUCAGAUACUGGGCGUAAAGAAACGUGCGCAAACGCGGUUCGGAAGAAAGAUGUACGAAAUCGAGCUUAGCUGGGUGCAUUUUUAACUGCCAACACGUGAGCUUCAGUGUCAGAAGUGAAUUCCCUGCGCGAUAACAGUGAAAGUAUAGCAAAUAUGCGGAAGACACCAUUAAGCGAAAACAGCCUCCUGGGGAUAACACUGACGCUCAUGCACUGGCAAUGGGGGCGACGGGAUUAAGAUGCCUGGUAGUCCGCCUAAACGAUAUCAACUAACUGUUAGGGCCGUGGACCGCAGUGUACCCAGCUAACAACGUGAGUUGACCGCCUGAGUACGGUCUGUAAAGUUACAAAACUCAAGGAAUUGACGAGGACCGCACAAGCGGUGGAUGAUGUGGAUUAAUUCGAUGCAGCAUGAAAAGCCUUACCCUUGACAUGUCUGGAAUCCGAAGAGAUUUGGGAGUGCUCACCCUGAAACCGGAACACUGAGUGCUGCAUGGCUGUCGUCAUGGCUCGUGUCGUGGAUGUUGGGUUUAAGUCCGCAACGAGCGCAGCCUUGUCGUGGAUUUGCUGCGAGGCACUCAGCCGAGACUGCCGGUGAUGAAACCGGAGGAAAGGUAGGGAUGACGUCAAUCCUCAUGGCGCCCUUAGGUACGGGCUUCACGUCACCAUACAAUGGGUGUUAAGGGACGGUCGCCAACCCCGCGAGGAGCCAAUCCCAGGAAACCCGAUCGGAAGUCGGAUCGCAGUCUGCAACUCGACCGUGAAGUCGCGAAUCGCUAGUAAUCGCGGAUCGGCAUGUCGCGGUGAUACGUUCAUGGUCUUAGCACACACUGCGCCCGUCACACCAUGGGAGUAGGUUUUACCAGAAAGUAGUUAGCCUAACCGUAAGGAGGGCGAUUACGGUAAAUUCAUGGCUAGGGUGGAAAUCGCUAACAAAAUU